GACGAACGCUGGCGGCGUGCUUAACACAUGCAAGUCGAACGGCAAGGCCCUGCUUUUGUGGGGUUCUCGAGUGGCGAACGGGUGAGUAACACGUGAGUAACCUGCUCUUGACUUUGGGGUAACUUCAGGAAACUGGGGCUAAUACCGGAUAGCAUCUCCUGCUCCAUUGUGGGCGGUGGAACUUUUCGGCGGUUGCGGAUGGACUGGCGGCUUAUCAGCUUGUUGGUUGGGUAGUGGUUUACCAAGGCUUUGACGGGUCGCCGGCACGGGAGGGUGACCGGCGACAUGGGGACUGAGGGACGCAGCAGACUCGAACGGUGGACAACGGGCGGGAGCAUGGCACAGUGGGCGGGAGCGGGAGGAAGAGACCUUGCGGGCGGAAAGACGGCCUGUGGGGAGAGAACAGCUUUCGCCUAUGACGAAGCGUGAGUGACGGUAAUGGGUGAAGAAGCACCGGCUAACUUCGUG
This 468-nucleotide ribosomal RNA is filed under the name uncultured bacterium. RNAcentral describes it as "partial 16S ribosomal RNA". It matches the Rfam family "Bacterial small subunit ribosomal RNA", at positions 28 to 507 of the family's 1533-position model. The record is from RNAcentral.